Molecule: ribosomal RNA, 242 nt
Filed under: uncultured Actinomycetales bacterium
Lineage: Bacteria; Bacillati; Actinomycetota; Actinomycetes; Actinomycetales
Description: partial 16S ribosomal RNA
Rfam family: Bacterial small subunit ribosomal RNA
Source: RNAcentral
UACUCGAGUGGCGAACGGGUGAGUAACACGUGGGUGAUCUGCCCUGCACUUCGGGAUAAGCCUGGGAAACUGGGUCUAAUACCGGAUAGGACGAUGGUUUGGAUGCAAUUGUGGAAAGUUUUUCGGUGUGGGAUGAGCUCGCGGCCUAUCAGCUUGUUGGUGGGGUAAUGGCCUACCAAGGCGUCGACGGGUAGCCGGCCUGAGAGGGUGUACGGCCACAUUGGGACUGAGAUACGGCCCAG